AAAAGGUCUGCUUUCUGCUAAAGCAAUGGAUGAAGAAAUGAAAAGCAAGCCAGAGACUAAUCUGAAUUCAUCUUUGCUUUAGACCUUUCCAUGUUGUCUUCCACUCAUGCACUUGCAUGGUCGGUUAAAGCAUAGCCAUGGAAAACUAGCUAGCUUUUUCUCAUGUAUACAAUUCGCUUUGAUUAGAACUCGAAAGUAGCACUGAGCUAAAGUUGAUUCGAUGACCUUAUUUAUGUUCUUUCAUUUUUUGGUCAAGAGAGACCAUUUUAAUUGUAUUAAAAAAACUUUGUUAAUUAUCUUCUUCAUGGCAUCCGCCGCCAUUACAUCAUCGCCUGGCCAGCAACCGCCCGCUGACGGAGAGAUUCAACAACCAAGUGUUCCACUGGCUGUAUCAGCUAGUAGUAGUGCAUGGCAUUCUUCAGGUUCUAUUGGCCCUUUCUUUGGAGUUAUUUCUGUUCUUGCAGUUCUAGCUAUUCUUUCUUGCUUUGUGGGUCGAAUAUGCAGCCGUCGGGCAGUGGCUCCUCCUCCGGACAACAUCAAGCAUAGAGGGUAUCUGGGGUGGAUGAAACGGAGGAGCCGGUGGUGCUGGGGUGGAGAUGUUGAGGUUGGAGCCAAUAAGGUGAUGGCUUUUGGUGGUGAUCAUCAAGCUAAAGAUGGCGAGGUUGAUCAGCAAUUACCCCCUACAGCUUGAUUUCUUUAAUUAGCAAUCUAUUUUAAUUUCCUUCAUGUUUAAAAGAAAAAAAAAAUGAGAAAUGGGUUUAAUUAAAUGUGUAUUCUGCAUAUUUAAUUACCAAAAUUACUCCCUAAAUACUGUUAUUAUUGAAGUCUGUUACUGUUAUUAUGGAAGUCAGUCGAUUCAUCUUUCUAAUAUGAUUUAUUAGAAUAUUUUUCAUUAUAUCAGCCCCUGAUAUUUCCUAUAUAUGAAGGAGUUUUCUGAGACAAGAAUCCAUACAUAUGGCAUAAUAAUUCUUUAAUUUACUUCAUCAAAAUAAUAGUAAUAUUGACAUUGGUCUUCCUUCUCUGAUAAAAUGUAAAGAGUGAGAGGCAUUAAUCUUCCCUCAUUAGAGUAAUAGUGAUAUUCG
Molecule: unclassified non-coding RNA, 1082 nt
Filed under: Hevea brasiliensis (rubber tree)
Lineage: Eukaryota; Viridiplantae; Streptophyta; Magnoliopsida; Malpighiales; Euphorbiaceae
Source: RNAcentral